UGCCAGGUAGUCGAGCGGUAAGACGUCCGGCCGUUACCCGGAAGGCGGGGGUUCGAGCCCCUCCCUGGCAG
Molecule: transfer RNA, 71 nt
Filed under: Actinomycetota bacterium
Lineage: Bacteria; Bacillati; Actinomycetota
Description: tRNA-Asn
Rfam family: tRNA
About the family: Transfer RNA (tRNA) molecules are approximately 80 nucleotides in length. Their secondary structure includes four short double-helical elements and three loops (D, anti-codon, and T loops).
Source: RNAcentral